UUUCAGUCGUGAGAAACUAUUGAGAGCAGCCGUCCGACAUAUCAAAGAGCCGAUCCAUUGUUCUUUGUGGUGUCCUUCGAUCCAUUCCAUCCCUUGUCCGAUCUUGAGAGAGACACACGUCCAGCAAGAGCCGGAACCACAACUAUCCUUCAAACCAUCCGUUGAUCUUGUUGAGAGAGACACACGUCCAGCAACAGAUUCCAUCCGCUAUUCUUCUCUUUCUCUCUGUCCUUGUUUUUAGAUUUCAUUCUCCUUUCCUUCAAAACCCAUAAAAAUCAUAUCUUGUCCAUUUAUCAUUUGUCCAAUAGCUUCUCUGUUUCUGUUCUUAGUUCUACCGUAAACUCACCAAAGCUCAUACUUGAUUCAGGUACAAACGCCAACAAGAGACGACCCGGCCGGUACCAUCCAUCCGAGCCAAAGACUGACCCGCGGAACAGCCAUCAGUCCGUCCGUCCGUCCGUCCGUUCGACCCUCGACCCGUGCCUACAACAUUUUGGUAUCAGAGCUGAAGUUUCCUGCGAAACUCAGUUCUUUCUGAACCCUAGCCGUCACAAUUCCAAAAAAAAUAUAUAUAUAUUUACUUUCCUUUUUUUUAAGUUUUCGGAUUGUUUUCCAAGUUUUCGAUUUUGCAUUUAAAAAAAAAAAAAAAAAAAAAAAAUUGUAGAAGUUUUACUUUCUUUCCAAGUUUUCGAAAAUUCAAAAAAAAUAUUCCUCUUUCCUUUUUCAACUUGAUUCGAUUUUUACCAUAAAUUUUUGCAUUUACUCUUGGCCUUGGUCGAUACUCAAAAGUAUCCGACCCAAGCA
This 804-nucleotide long non-coding RNA is filed under the name Brassica rapa (field mustard). RNAcentral's name for it is "long non-coding RNA (BRAP_LNC008773)". Lineage: Eukaryota; Viridiplantae; Streptophyta; Magnoliopsida; Brassicales; Brassicaceae. The record is from RNAcentral.